UUGGGGAUUAUUCGUGAUGGAAAUUUCUCACACAGCCAGCUAUUCUGGUUUGAUUCUUUGCUAGACGACUCAAAUGAAUAAUUUGCUUCUGGAGAUCUGGUGGUAAUGGAAAGGUGAAAACAUCUUAAAAUAUAUGGUUGCAUACAUUAUGGUAAUAAUAUAUCCAACAUGGUUCAUACCUGCUAUGUUGAGCGGUUGCCAAGAUCAAAGAUGACAGCAGAGUUAAGACUUUAAUACUGUUUGAAACUGAUAAUAACUGUCUCGAGGAGUUAUGUAUCAUUAGAUAUAAGUGUAAUGAUAGCUGUCAUGUUGGAAGUAUGUAGUUUGGUACUGUAGGGAGUUGUAUGUCGUAAUUUAUGUUUGGACAGAGAAUAGUUUCUAUAGGAGUCAUAAGACACCCUUUGAUGCAUUGUGUGAAUUCUGUGGUUCAGUAAUAAAAAAACCACCAAUUUGUGAUGUGAUGUGGUGAGGACAGCCUCUAUUGGGGAUUAUUCGUGAUGGAAAUUUCUCACACAGCCAGCUAUUCUGGUUUGAUUCUUUGCUAGACGACUCAAAUGAAUAAUUUGCUUAUGGUGAUCUGGUGGUAAUGGAAAGGUGAAAACAUCUUAAAAUAUAUGGUUGCAUACAUUAUGGUAAUAAUAUAUCCAACAUGGUUCAUACCUGCUAUGUUGAGCGGUUGCCAAGAUCAAAGAUGACAGCAGAGUUAAGACUUUAAUACUGUUUGAAACUGAUAAUAACUGUCUCGAGGAGUUAUGUAUCAUUAGAUAUAAGUGUAAUGAUAGCUGUCAUGUUGGAAGUAUGUAGUUUGGUACUGUAGGGAGUUGUGUGUCGUAAUUUAUGUUUGGACAGAGAAUAGUUUCUAUAGGAGUCAUAAGACACCCUUUGAUGCAUUGUGUGAAU
This 900-nucleotide long non-coding RNA is filed under the name Phaseolus vulgaris (common bean). RNAcentral describes it as "long non-coding RNA (PVUL_LNC004677)". The record is from RNAcentral. Lineage: Eukaryota; Viridiplantae; Streptophyta; Magnoliopsida; Fabales; Fabaceae.